Molecule: ribosomal RNA, 442 nt
Filed under: uncultured bacterium
Lineage: Bacteria
Description: partial 16S ribosomal RNA
Rfam family: Bacterial small subunit ribosomal RNA
Source: RNAcentral
CCUACGGGAGGCAGCAGUGGGGAAUAUUGGGCAAUGGGCGCAAGCCUGACCCAGCAACGCCGCGUGAAGGAAGAAGGCCUUCGGGUUGUAAACUUCUUUUGUCAGGGAAGAGUAGAAGACGGUACCUGACGAAUAAGACUCGGCUAACUACUUGCCAGCAGCAGCGGUACUACGUAGGUGGCAGGCGUUGUCCGGAUUUAAUGGGUGUAAAGGGCGUGUAGCCGUGUUGACAGGUCAGAUGUGAAAUCCUGCGGCUAAAGCGGAGAACUGCAAUUGAUACUGUUGAUCUGGAGUACUGAUGAGGUAGGUGGAAUGCGUGGUGUAGCGGUGAAAUGCGUAGAUAUUACGAAGAACACCGAUUGCGAAGGCAGUCUGCUGGACCGCGACUGACGGUGAGGCGCGAAAGCGUGGGGAGCAAACAGGAUUAGAUACCCUGGUAGUC